This 11096-nucleotide long non-coding RNA is filed under the name Vitis vinifera (wine grape). RNAcentral describes it as "long non-coding RNA (VVIN_LNC007431)". The record is from RNAcentral. Lineage: Eukaryota; Viridiplantae; Streptophyta; Magnoliopsida; Vitales; Vitaceae.
UUGCAGCAAAUGCCACCAUCAUCAUUGACACUGAGAGGAUUAAGAAUGUGAAGCCCAGCAUCAGCUUUUGAAUAAGAGAGUUCUUGAAGUCUCGAAAUCGAAACGAGGAGGUGAGAAUUGAGAGGAAUGUAACCACGGAGGUCAAAGCAAAAGUAAGUGUAAGUGAAUCAGACAGGGUGAAAAUCAUAAAGAAAGGUUGGUAGAGAAGGAGUGGGAAACCCGUGUUUUGAUUAGGCCCUCCUGGUAUGGUGUAGGCUGCAGCAAAUGCAACAGUGGCAAUGAGAACAGCAACAACUGUGCAGUUUUCUGAGGUGCGCUUUAGCCAAUCCGUGGCGCUCUUACGAAGUUUAGUGUUUGUUUCAGCAAAUAAUUCCUCAGGAGUGUGCUUCUGUUCGUUGAGGUGCUUAGUGAAAUAGUCUGCAGAGACUUCCUUCACCCUCUGCAAACACAAGUAAUUAUAUUUGCUCUUAGAUAUUUAAGUCAGCUUAGAUGGGAAUAAACAAACAGAACCGCAAUAUGAUGAUACAUUAAGUUUAAAAAUGAAGGCUAAGCUUUUGAGCCAAAAGCUUGAAUCAUCCAAAUUGAUAAGCAUCAAUGAAUUAGGGCAGCCAAAGCAUAUAUACCUCAAACAAUAUCAACUCCUUUUGCAAUUGAAGUGCAGGGCUUUGUAUCUUUUCAGGAACAUAAUCUGCUCUUUUUUUCCCAACCAUAUGAAGGAAUUCCCCUCAUCAUCUAGCUUUCUUACAAGGUUCCUUGCUAUGAAUUCAUUAUUCACCACCAGGUUGAAAAUCUUUAUUUGGCAAAAUGCAAUAUAUUCUUCCCUUUGCAAUUAAUGUGCUCAAAUGCUUGCGGGUGCACAGCAAAUAUUUCUUUGACAAUCUCUUGGAUGCCUGACCAGGUGGCCAAAAACAAUGGAAUUUCACCGGUCCUCAUAAUGGGAGUCAUGUCGUUUUCUGGAGAGCCAUCUACUUCUCCUUCUCCUCUGCUUUCAUUGAAGGGAGAUUUGCUACUUUCCUGGGACCGUCCUGUGAGGCCUUCUUUCUCUUCAUGUCCCGGGGAAAGCAAUGAAAUUGACGCAUUUCGUCUCCCUUUUUCAUCACUUGAGGGAGUUGAAGGACUAUAUGUGUGUGUUUUAGGCUUACUCCGGUUUUGUUGUGCUUUAGUAGCUUUCGAUGAAGUAUCUCUUUGUAUCAACAACUUAGCAAGUUUCACAGCUGAUUCAUAUCUAGCCUGCUCCUUCCUAACUGCUUCCAAAGCCGGCAAGCUCCAACAUGAUUUAACUUAAUUAUCAAGAAGCAUAAGUAAGUGAUCAUUCUUGGUAUAAUCAGAUUGGACUUUUUACCCAUACAUCAAACCAUUAUAGCACUACCAGCUAAUUAGCCUAAAAACUCAUGUUAUUAGGUUAUCAAUCAAACAAUAUAUAGCAACUUACACUAAAGUCUUUCACAUGAUCUCCUCUUAAAAAUGAAACUAUUGCAUCAUUUUAUGCUAGUAAUUAGCCUAAUAAGUUGAAACUAAUGUUAACAUGACACAUCUUAACAUGCUAUAAACUAGAAUCAUCUCUUCCAUCAAACUUUUUAACCUCAAAUUUCGCUGUCAUUCUAGGUCUAACCUUAACUCUAAUACCAAUAUGAAAAUAAUAAAAAACAAUAAUAGGGAUAAGAAAAUGGGAGAACAAAAAGGCUACAUGAAAACUAUUUUUUAAGAAAAAGAUUAUAAUCCUAGAACUCUCAAAAUCCAAAACUCCAAUUAUAUUAAAAAAAAAAAAAAAAAGAUUCCCUCUUUCAGUUAAUAAAACUUAAAAUAUCUUCUUAUAGUUCUCUUGGUUACAUCGGAAUAUUUUAUAUAUGAAACUAAUUAUCUAGUUUAAAAAAAUAUAUAUGAGAAAACAAUUGCUAUGUUUAGUUAAGAAAAACACCCAAAAGAGAGGGGGGGGUGAAUUGAGUUUUUAAAUUUUUUUCAAUCACAACAUAUUUAAACAAAAUAUAAGCAAAGUAAAGAGAUAGAGUUUAGAAAAUUCAAACUCGGGUUUAUAGUGGUUCGGCACUUUCUUGCCUACGUCCACUCUCCUCAACCUCCUAACCGAGUGAGGGUUCCACUAACUUGAAACUUCAACCAAGCUUCCAAUCUUCUUAUACUUGGAUUCCGACUCUAAUGGGCUCUUACACAACUUCUUCAAGAUUCAACCCUCUUGAAGGCUUUAAUACUCAGAUUGUUACAAGAUAUAAUCACUCAACCUACCUUAAAGAUGACUCAAAUACAAGACAAAACUAGGAUGACAAAUAAGAGUGCAUUAAAGGAUAUGCAAGUGGUGAUUUAAUGCACAAUGAAAGAAAUGAGAGCUUUUUGAUCAAGAACAGGUAGGUAGGCUUUGAAUGCAAGUGUUCUCUUUUCAAUAAAUGUAGUGGAGCUCUCAAUUUAUAGGUUUCUAAGCUCGGGAGUCAAAAACAGUAAAAGGCAACCUCGUCCGGUCGAGUUAGGGGUCGAUCGGUUCACUAGCCGUUGGAGCAUUUAAUGCAUAAUAGGUUACCGUUGCCUUAAUCAGACCUCGACAUGUACUCGACCGGACCUCGACUGGUAAGAGAAACACCUCGACCGGAAAGAAAAGGCUACUGGGAGAGAGAGAAGAUUUUUGACUUCUCUCAACCGGACGACCACAACCGGUUUACCGGUUCCUUAACCGGUUGGUCGGUUGGCCAUAGCCUCGAUCGGUUGAGCCUUUUUGGCCUCGAAAAACUUAUUUUUUGAUUCCUUUCUUUUCUAACACUUAGGCAAGGUCUUUAGAAAAAUUAUUAAGCUAAUUUUAAAACAUUUUGCCUAAGGUAAAUUAGUUAAAAACUCGGGUUUUAAUGAAAUCGACGUUUUAAAUAAUAAACCGAGUUUUCUAAGAUGCAUGAAACGUAUGAAAAUCCUAAGUGCACUCAUGCAUUCAUCUUACAUUAGUUUUCUAUGAUCAUAAGUCUUCCAAACGUCUCGAUCUUGUAUCCAUUUGAUCAUUUGAUGAAUUUUCGAGUUUAUACCUGAGAUUCUUAAACAUUAAACCAAUUAGUCACUUAACCAUGAUUUGUUAUCAUCAAAACCCGAUUAGGAGAACCCUUGAGCUAACAAUAUAUAUUAGUGUUAGAAAAUUAUAGGAUACUUUAUAAAAAGAGGAAAGUUUCUUAUAAGAAUAUAUCAUAAAAGGAAAAUAUCAUAGGCUUAGAAAUUGAUUUAGAGAAUUUGAAAUAUUUUCAAUAGAUUAGGUUGAAGCAUUUUCUUUUUCUCUAUUUAUUGAUUUAGUCUUGUCCGGGCUUGAAGAUAUGUCAAACAUUGAGUUAUUCUCUAACCCGUCGAUUUAGGAGGAAAAAGGGUAUGAAGGUAUGAAGAUUAAGGAAUAACUUGUGAAAGAGAAGCAGGGCUGAAGCUCAAGGAAUAAAGGUACCCUUAGGAAUAAAAGUACCCUUAGGAAUAACUAGUGAAAAACUUCCGCCGAGUUUAUCCCAUUUGGGAUGUGAACGGUUUGACUACAAAUAAAAUGACCCAACCUCAAGGCAGCUCCAUCUCUCACACCAACAAAUGUAAAAAACUGCAUCAUGAAGGGAUUUUACAAUGAAUCAUUAAUUCUGGUUCUGAGGUCCAAAAUAUGGAGAAGUGUGACAUUACCACACUGUUAAUAUACUCCUCUUAAUCCCUAUCGUAUGGGCAAUAAUCUUUAUAACAAGGAAUGAAAAAUCUUUUUCCCGUUACAUGAAUCUGGAUUUCAUUUUGUUGGGAAAAAAAAUGUUUCUAAGCAUUAUUUUUCCCCUCAAAAAUGACAUUGUACGUAUUGAUAAUAGCUAUAAAAAACAUAUAUUGAAUGACUAAUAGAGGAUAUCGCACUUAGCCGUUUAGUCGUGCAAGGACAAACACAUCAAUGGAUCAUGAUUUCACUCUAAACAUGCCAUGGCGGUUUUUUCCCUCACAAAUUGAAAACAAAUUAAUCACUACUCCAUGUGUAAAGUUCAACAAGGAGUUAUGAAAAGAUAACUACCAAACAAACGGAUCCAUCAAACCAGUGAAGUGCAUUUGGAUUGAGAUUUAUGGGGGGUUUAAUGGAGGAGCUCUUGGCCUGGACAUUGUUAUGCUUGAGCAACUUAAUAGUAAUCCAAGACCCGAGAAGAAUACAGUUACAGCUAGGACAAGCCUUAGCUAAAAGUUUCAAUGGAUAUCUGCAUGUUUCCAAGAGCGAUAAAUAUACAGGUGAAUAUGAAACAACAAAGAAGGUAACUGGGAGGAAUGCAACUGAAUAUAGCACAAUUUUUGUCCACCUUUCCUUAUUAUGUAUCAUAAGGACAAUAGUUGCGGCAAAUGCCACCAUCAUCAUUGACACUGAGAGGAUUAAGAAUGUGAAACCCAACAUCAGAUUUUGAGGAAAAAAGUGCUUGAAGUCUUGUAAUUGAAAUGAGGAGGUGAGAAUCGAGAGGAAUGUAGCCACUGAGGUCAGAGCAAAGGUAAGGGACAGGACAUCAGUUAAGGUGAAAACUAUGAAGAAAGGUUCAUGGAGGAGUGGAAAACCAGAGUCUUGAUUUGGUCCUCCUGAUAUGUAGGCUGCUGGGUGGAAAUGAGAACAACAACAAUGAUGCAGUUUUCAGAGGUGCGCUUUAGCAAUUCUGUGGCGUUGUUAUGAAGCUGAUCUGAUCAUAGGUUGUAGCAAAUAAUUCUUCAGCAAUAAGCUUCUUCUGGUUGAGGUGCUUGGUGAAAUAGGUUGUAGAAAUUUCUUUCACUCGCUGCACAUACAUUCACACUGUAUAUAUAAGAGCUAGCACUUUUGUAUUGGCAGUAUAUACAAGUAUAAAUUCAAAUAAGCUAUCUUUAAGGAUUUUUAUCAUAAUAUCAAUUCUUAUUUGGAUUGUUUUUUAAGGAGCUUUUUACUUCAAAAAAAUUUAAUAUGGAAAUUAUGAUGAAAUUAUUUCAUAUAAAAACUAUUUUUUAAUCUAUGCAUGAAUUUAUUGAAUGUUUACUAAUACAAUCAUCAUACCCAAAUUGUCCCUUGAAAUUAUGAUUUUAGCUUCAGUUCAGCUUUUAGUUAAAAGGAAAGGCCGAAAUCAAAACAAGGGAUCACAGAGGGUAAGUUUUGGAGCCUAUAGCUAGCUUGAACUUCCUCAACAUUAAAUGGAGAUGCUUUUAUACACGAAAGAGUGUGAGAUAAUGAAUUAAUAGGAUAUGAAAGUCUACCUCGAAUAAAAGCAAUUCCUUUUGCAAUUGAGGUGCUGGGCUUUGAAUCUUUUCCGCUGCAUAACCUGUUUUCUUCUUUUCCCCGCAUUGUCUGUCUUUGUUAUAUAUCAACCUUCUGGCAAGCAUUUCCUUUUUCACCACCAGCUCAAAAAUAUCUAUUUGCGGGUGCUUGAUCGCCACAUGCAGUAUGCUCCUGCCCCUGUUAUAAACAUGCUCAAUUGCCUGAGGGUGCAAAUUGUUGCCAAUAAUAAUGGAGUUUCGCCUGUCCUCAUCAGAGUUAUGUAACUUUGUGGAGAUGCAACUUCUUUCUCUUCAUCUUCUGGGCCUAUAUCUUCACUGAAGGAAGGUUUAUGAGUCUCAAGGGACCAUAUUGGGGAGUUUUCACCUUUCUCUUGACCCAGGGAAGGUGUUGAGAUUAGUUCAUAACGUCCUUCCUUUUCAUUGGAGAAUGGUUUGGUAUAAUGACCAUAUUUGUGGCUCUUAGGCUUACUCCGGUCCUUACGAGGAUCAGUAACCUUCCAGGAAGUAUCUUUCUGAUUAAAAACCUGGAGAGGUUUGUGGCUGAUUCUAGUCUGGUGUUCUCCUUCCUAACUGCUUCCAACAGGGGCAAUCCCCAAUAUGAUUGAACUUCUGUGUGAUGUAACGUUAGUAAAAGAAAUACUAGUUGCACUUGAAACAUACCAAAAUCAGAUAUAUAUGAGAUGGGUUUGCACACUUUGACUUGUGGCCCUUCAUCAUCUCUCUCCAUGGUCUUAUCUUUUUCUUUGAAGUUGGAGACACCUGUAAAGUGACAAAUCAGACUGGGAAGAGAAAAGAAGAUUCAGUUUGCCUUUUUCAUCCGUUAACAAAAUUUUCUCUAAAAGAUAAAUAUACUGUACAAGAGAAGAGGAGUCGGUGCAGGAAUUCAUAUUCACAUCCGCUUUUAAAUGCUGAUGAAUUGCAUGCCAGAAGUUUGAACGGCAGCCAUCUGAUAUAUGAGUUUUAUUGAAUUUAAAUUUAAUUUUAUUUUUUAGUUCAUUUUUUUCUUUUCUUUUCAUUGUAUAUUUUCUCUCUUUCGAGAAAACCGAAUAGGUUGCAGAAGCAAGAGCUUAUGCAAACUCGCAAAAGUGCUCAGCAAGGAUAGAAUACGAAGAAUGGUGGCUUCAUCUUUCCUCUGAAAAAACACUUUUCGGUCUUCUUCAUUAAGGCAUUCUUUAUCAACUACAUCAGCAAGAAACUUGAACAUCAUCUUUUUCCCAUAUUGAGCUGCCUGAAAGAGCGGCGUCUCACCAUAAUCGUUCUGCAUUCUGAGCAACUGUGAAGCUUUCUUCAAUGUUUCUCUAGCAGCAGGAAGGGUUCUGCUGGCUGUGGCUGCCUCGUGGAGUAUAGUGUUUCCAGCAUCAUUCUGAUGGGCGAGUUGGCUGAGAUGGGUCUCCGGCAAUUGUUCCAGUAAAUUCAGUUCUAGAUCAGAUUGUUUGGAGUAAGUAGCUAUGUGGAGGACUGUCUUUGUGUAUAGUCAUUACGUACAUGGCCCUUCUGGAAUAUUUUUGCAAGGUUGGAUCACCUCUUUCUCAUCUCCAUUCAUCAGAGCUUUGUAGAGAUCUCUGUGAAGCUCCUCUUUGGUACCUUCAUCUGCCAUGAAAGUGGAAACAGUAGAAGGGUUACUGGAAGAUGGGUGUUUAGGUACAAGCUAGUGGAGAAAGUUAAUGGGUGGAUAAGAUUCCUUUUCUCUUUAGUGGGGGAUCCGACUCUUCAUAUUACUUGAUAUUCCACCUCUCGUGUUAUUAGGUAUGGAUCUUAAGUUUACUAGAAAUUAUACUUCCAAUUAUUUGCUUUGUAAAGUUGAAUCCCAUAAAAAUUUGAUCAAGUUUAUAUUUGCUUUAGAUGUUACUUAGUCUAGAAAUCAAGAGAAAAUCAGUUUUAUUAUUACAUGCAAGUCUAUUCAAUUAAGAACAGAUUUUCAUCAUACAUACUUUCAAGAGUUAAAUAUCCCUUAAACUUCUGAACUUUUUGUAUUUUGCUUCCUCCCAUUUAAAAUCCAUCAAUUUAUUUAAAAAAAAUUGCUAAAUUGUGUUUGAAUGAUUUAUAUUUUUACUAACAUGAAUGAUUUAACAUUUCCUUGUAUUUAUAAGUUAAUUGACUAUGCAAAGAGAUAAUAAUACGUGAUAAAUCUUUCUUUAUUUUGCAAAUGUUUUUUUUUUCUUAUAGUGAAACUUAUCUUUCAGUUUUCUUAACAAUUAGAUAUUAAAAAGAUUCGUUCAUAUCCACAUGUAUGGCCAUACUUUUAUGGCCUUUUUGGCUUUAAAAUAUGGGGUGUUUGCCAUGUGCACGUGCCUUCUUCUAGCUUUACCUUUCUUGGUAUUCAUGCUUUUUAUUAUUGAGGGCCGGCUUGUCUAAAUGGUGCUUGCCUUUUCAUUAUUACUGAUUCUUCUUAGCAUGGUUAACAAAGUUAAAUGGUAAAUGGUGUCUGCCAUUUCCAAUAUUCAAGAUAUAUUUCUCUAUUAAUUUGUUAUUGUGGAUCAAAAGGUUUUGAUGCUAGAUCUAGGACAUGAAUGAUGUCUGUCUUUCAAGCUUUAGAGCUGUCUCUACCCCAUCUUAAAACUUCCGCCCUGGUGAUCUAUAAAAAUAAGGAAAAAAAAGAAGAAAAAAACAAAGAUCAGCAAGUCAAAUUAAUUUCAAAAAAUGUUGGUAUUUAUUAUUGGAGAUUUUGUAAGCAUCUUUCUUCCUAUGUUUGUUGUAUUAUGAUAUAUACUUGAUUCUUCAGUUCAAGGUGUUCCCUUUAAACAAACCGCUACUUCAAUGCCACCUUGGUCUUGCCAGUUCUAUUUAUGUCAUAGAAACAAUAUUCAAGAAAAAGAAAUAAACAACAAACAAAUCAAAUCGUCUUUUAGUUUUUUAAGUUAUUGUUUUAUAUUUGAUUUUUCAUUGGACUUCUGAUGAUAAAUUAAAUAAAAAAUUGAGAUUAAUUCUUUCUUAUUUUUGUUUGCAUAUGUGGCGAAUUUAAGGAGACCACGUGGCCAGGAGAUGCCCUAUCACUUCCACUCAAAUGUAUUCAAAUUUAAAACUCUCUGCAUAUGUAGAAAGGCAAUACAGAUCAUUAGUUCACUUUAAACAAGCUAAUUAAAUUCAAUAUAUGCAGUUUUUUUGUUCUUGUUACAGGCAAACUGAAGAAUAUUUGUGUAAAACAUGGACAAGGAUUAAUGAAAAUACAACCAAAUGAGACGAUCAUUUCUUCUUUCAAACCGGAGUACGGUUGGGAUGAGAUUUAUGGGGUUUAAUGGAGGAGCUGUCCCCUCGGAUACUAUUAUCCUCGAACGACUUAUUGUUUAUCCAAGGUUGAAGAGGAAAACAAUUACACCUAGGACAAGCCUUCAGUAUGAGCUUGAGGGGGUAUUUGCAGGCUUCCAAGAGGGAUAGGUAUAGAGGUGAAUAUGAGAUAGCAAAGAGGGUAACUGGCAGGAAUGCAACUGAGUAUAGCACAAUUUUUGUCCACCUUUCCUUAUUACGUAUCAUGAGGACUAUUGUUGCAGCAAAUGCCACCAUCAUCAUUGAGACUGAGAGGAUUAAGAAUGUGAAGCCCAGCAUGAGCUUUUGAGGAAGAGAGUUCUUGAAGUCUUGUAAUCGAAAUGAGGAGGUGAGGAUUGAGAGGAAUGUGACCACUGAGGUCAAAGCAAAAGUAAGGGAAAUGACGUCGGUCAAGGUGAAAAUCACAAAGAAAGGUUGGGAGAGGAGGAGAGGUAAACCCGUGCUUUGAUUUGGUCCUCCUGGUAUGGUGUAGGCUGCAGCAAAUGCUACGGUGGCGAUGAGAACGGCAACAAUGGUGCAGUUUUCAGAAGUGCGCUUUAGCCAAUCUGUGGCACUGUUAUGAAGAUCGGAAUAGGUUUUAGCGAAUAGUUCCUCUGGAGUCUGCUUAUUUUCGUUGAGGUGUUUGAUGAAAUAGGUUUUGGAGACUUCCUUCACUCGCUGCACACAUAAUUAAUCUUAUAAAUUUUAGGCUCCUAAACAUAUUUUUGUUUUAUUAAACAUCAUAGAAGAGUUUUCAAAAACUGAAAACUAUUUUCAAGUAUUAUUUUUCAAAACUGUUUUUGAAAAUACUUCUUAAAUAGAGCCUAAGUUUUGAACCCAAUGUAUUUUUGAAGCUUUCAAAUUGAUAAUGCCAUUAAGAAGUAUGUGUGCAAAAGCAGGGUUGAAUAGGAUAAUGGAAGCACACCUCAAACAAGAGCAACUCCUUUUGCAAUUGGAGAGCAGGGCUUUGUAUCUUCUCAGCUAUGUAACCUGAUCUUUUCUUCCCAACCAUAUGAAGUAUGGAGUUUCCCCAUUCGUCAGUCUUUCUUACUAGCCUCCUCGCUAGCAUUUCAUUAUUCACCACCAGAUUGAAGAUCUCUAUUUGGCGGUACUUGACGGCAACAUGCAAAAUGUUCUUCCCUCUGUUAUUAAUAUGCUCAAUAGCCUGUGGGUGCACAUCUAGUAUUUGUUCGACAAUCUCUCGAAUGCCUGACAUUGUGGCCAAAAACAAAGGAGUUUCCCCGGUCUUUAUGAUGGGAGUUGUGUAAUCUUCCUCUUCUCCUCCUCCUCCUUCUCUUUCAGUAAAAGAUGAUUUCUUACUUUCCUGGGACUGUCCUUGGGGGGUUUCUUUCUCUUCAUUACCUACGGANNNNNNNNNNNNNNNNNNNNNNNNNNNNNNNNNNNNNNNNNNNNNNNNNNNNNNNNNNNNNNNNNNNNNNNNNNNNNNNNNNNNNNNNNNNNNNNNNNNNAGGUGAAAUCACAAAGAAAAGGUUGGGAGAGGAGGAGAGGUAAACCCGUGCUUUGAUUUGGUCCUCCUGGUAUGGUGUAGGCUGCAGCAAAUGCUACGGUGGCGAUGAGAACGGCAACAAUGGUGCAGUUUUCAGAAGUGCGCUUUAGCCAAUCUGUGGCACUGUUAUGAAGAUCGGAAUAGGUUUUAGCGAAUAGUUCCUCUGGAGUCUGCUUAUUUUCGUUGAGGUGUUUGAUGAAAUAGGUUUUGGAGACUUCCUUCACUCGCUGCACACAUAAUUAAUCUUAUAAAUUUUAGGCUCCUAAACAUAUUUUUGUUUUAUUAAACAUCAUAGAAGAGUUUUCAAAAACUGAAAACUAUUUUCAAGUAUUAUUUUUCAAAACUGUUUUUGAAAAUACUUCUUAAAUAGAGCCUAAGUUUUGAAGCCAAUGUAUUUUUGAAGCUUUCAAAUUGAUAAUGCCAUUAAGAAGUAUGUGUGCAAAAGCAGGGAUGAAUAGGAUAAUGGAAGCGCACCUCAAACAAGAGCAACUCCUUUUGCAAUUGGAGAGCAGGGCUUUGUAUCUUCUCAGCUAUGUAACCUGAUCUUUUCUUCCCAACCAUAUGAAGUAUGGAGUUCCCCCAUUCGUCAGUCUUUCUUACUAGCCUCCUCGCUAGCAUUUCAUUAUUCACCACCAGAUUGAAGAUCUCUAUUUGGCGGUACUUGACGGCAACAUGCAAAAUGUUCUUCCCUCUGUUAUUAAUAUGCUCAAUAGCCUGUGGGUGCACAUCUAGUAUUUGUUCGACAAUCUCUCGAAUGCCUGACAUUGUGGCCAAAAACAAAGGAGUUUCCCCGGUCUUUAUGAUGGGAGUUGUGUAAUCUUCCUCUUCUCCUCCUCCUCCUUCUCUUUCAGUAAAAGAUGAUUUCUUACUUUCCUGGGACUGUCCUUGGGGGGUUUCUUUCUCUUCAUUACCUACGGACAGGGAUUGCAAUCCAUCUCGUCCCAAUCCUUUCUCGUUUAAGGAAGUUCUGGGACCAUAUCUGUGAGUUCUAGGCUUACUGCGGUCCUCUCGUGGAUUAGUGAGCUUCCAUGAAGUGUCAUUUGGAAUCAACAACUCAGCAAGUUUGGCAGCUGAUUCGUAUCUAGCCUUCUCUUUCCUAACUGCUUCCAAUAUGGGCGAUCUCCAACAUGAU